AGUUAAUAAGUUUUAGAGAAACAAGUAUUUUGAAAAUACAUAAAGAAAGUUAAAUUCUUUCAUUAACUU
This 69-nucleotide transfer RNA is filed under the name Anaxandra taurina. RNAcentral's name for it is "tRNA-Ser". Lineage: Eukaryota; Metazoa; Arthropoda; Insecta; Hemiptera; Acanthosomatidae. The record is from RNAcentral.